GAGACGCUGCAGAGCCACGGACGGCUCUGAAAGACACAGACCUGACAGAAGCUGGAACACCUGAGAGGCACUGAGAAACUCCACGCACGGACCCGGACAAAGGACUCACGGUGAGACACGGGGAAAAGAAACCGUGGGGAGCGUGGGAAGAGAUCCGCGGGGAAAUGCGGGAAACGGAACUGCGCAGGGACGCGGGAACGAGGUCUCGCAAAGGCUGCAACAGCAUAAAUAAAGGUAUGGAGAGAGAAGCGGCGUAUGAUUUGCUCAAAUGCUUUUUAGAAAAGCGGAGCACGCAGGGUAUAGACUGCAAAAAGGAUUUACCAGGAUUAUUAGAAUAUGGAGUAACAAAGGGUUGUUUUAUCAAUCUGGAUACAGUUUUUGAACAAACAGAGUGGCGUAAAUUUGGGGACAAAUUGUUUGAUGAAGUUAUUAAUGAAAAUAAGGCUGCUAAAAAAUUAUUGAAGCCUUGGAGAGCAGUCACUAAUGCCUUAGCUAUACAUCAGGCUGAGCAGAGAGUCGCUGCUGCUGCUACAGAGCGACUGGGAUUGCCAGGAAGUGCUGGUAGUGUUAACCCUCAACAGGGAGGGAUGGGGGGAGCUGGGGAUUACCCAUUGCCGCCUUCAGUGAGGACGAUAACGCUGCCUCAGGGGGCUAUGGGGCAAUGGGAGCCUCCUCCUCUCUCAUCAUCCUUCUCAGAGUCGGCGUUGGUGCUCUCGCCAUCACCAGCAGCACCACCGGCUCCUUCUCACAAAAGUGGGGAAAUGGAUGAGGAAAUAAGAGAGCAAAAACCAGAAAGAAAAAAUACAAGCCCGUUUAUAGAAGGUGUUCAAGAGAGGCAGAGGGUGUGGAAGCAAAUAGCAGAUGAGGCUCUACACGAGGGUGAACACGGGAUAGCUGCACAAUUGGUUCAAGAGGCCUUCCCGGUAGUAUAUUCACCACCGGACGCCCAGGGUAAUGUUACGGUUAAUCUAGUGAAUUUGGACUGGAAAUUGUUAACUCAGCUGUGGUCCACAGUGAACGACUCAGGUCUGAAAGGUGAACCCACGAGACAGAUGUUGGACUAUAUUUGGGGAACAAAUAUUUUGCUUCCAGGAGACAUACGUAGCAUAAUGAAGUUAAUAUUGACCCAACACCAGCAGCUCUUAUUUAAUGCCCAUUGGCAGGCUGCUUGUCAAGAAGCAGUCGCAGUGAUAAGAGCACCUGGGGACCCUUUACAUGGGGUCACGCUGGAAGAGUUGAUGGGGGUAGGACCGUAUUUUAGGACAGAAGCACAGGCCUCGCGGGGACCUGAUAAAGCGAAGGAAUCGAUGAGAAUGGCCAGAAGAGCAUUGGAUCAGAUAAAGGGGCCAGGGGGAAUACCUUCCUACAUGGGAAUCAAACAGGGUAGAGAGGAACCAUUUGGGCUUUUUAUUGACCGCGUA
Molecule: long non-coding RNA, 1421 nt
Filed under: Anas platyrhynchos platyrhynchos (common mallard)
Lineage: Eukaryota; Metazoa; Chordata; Aves; Anseriformes; Anatidae
Description: lncRNA (ENSAPLG00000028788.1)
Source: RNAcentral